GAGGGUUUAAUUCUGGCUCUAGAGUUCAAAGCUAGGCGAACUACAUGGAAGUUUUUGUGGGGUGCACUUUAAAUAAGUAAACUAAGUACCCAGUAGUUAUCUUUAGGGAUUUAGCUAAUCUAGCCCAAGACCCCUACUAACUAAUAUAGUGCCAGCAGUUGCGGUUAUACUUUAAGUAAAGAACUAUUUUUAAGGGGAGUGGCAUUUCAACUCUGCCGGAUAAGAGGUCUAAUUCCAGUUCGAGCAGUUGCUUAUUAGAAGCUCAAACCCAGGGUAAGAGACAAGGAUUAGCUACCCUUUUAUCCCCUGGAUUAUAUCCCCCAGGGGUAGUAAUUAUUAUAAUAUAAAACCUAAAGGAUUUGGCGGCACCUGAGCUUACUAGAGGAACCUGCUCUGUAAUCGAAAGUACACGCGGGACCGUGCCUGCUCUGAGUUUGUAUACCGCCGUCUAAACAAACCUGGAAAGGUGGGUUGACCCUAUGUGGUAAAAAAGUCAGGUCAAGGUACAGCGCAUGGGCAGGGCAGGGUGGGUUACAUUUAGAAAACUACUGGAGUUUCCAUGAAAAUAGAGAUGAAACAGGAUUUGGUAGUAACCCGGGUAAACUACCUGUUUGAAAAAGUUAGCAGGUGAGUACAUAUUGCCCGUCACUCUCACAAAGUGAGAUAAGUCGUAACAUAGUAAAAGUAUCGGAAGCUGCUUUUUUGUAUUCUUGCAAAAG
RNAcentral lists this ribosomal RNA (719 nucleotides) under Orthione mesoamericana. Its description in RNAcentral is "12S ribosomal RNA". The record is from RNAcentral. Lineage: Eukaryota; Metazoa; Arthropoda; Malacostraca; Isopoda; Bopyridae.